GUCUUUGACAAGAGUAGAGGCUGGUAUGGGUAAUCUUAGGUCGUUAGAUUGACGAAGGGCAUAAUAAUUGGAGUAACUGCUAAAUAUCAAUUUAUGUUUGUUAAUCAAACAUACUGUUUCU
Leptinotarsa decemlineata (Colorado potato beetle) is the source of this 121-nucleotide long non-coding RNA. Lineage: Eukaryota; Metazoa; Arthropoda; Insecta; Coleoptera; Chrysomelidae. The record is from RefSeq and is a predicted model, not a curated record.